Molecule: ribosomal RNA, 380 nt
Filed under: uncultured bacterium
Lineage: Bacteria
Description: bacterial SSU rRNA
Rfam family: Bacterial small subunit ribosomal RNA
Source: RNAcentral
UACGGAGGAUUCGAGCGUUAUCCGGAUUUAUUGGGUUUAAAGGGUGCGUAGGCGGUUUUUUAAGUCAGCGGUGAGAUGUUUCUGCUUAACAGAGAAAGCGCCGUUGAUACUGGAAGACUUGAGUGCAGAUGAAGUUGGCGGAAUGUGGCAAGUAGCGGUGAAAUGCAUAGAUAUGCCACAGAACACCGAUAGCGAAGGCAGCUGACUAAGGUGCAACUGACGCUGAGGCACGAAGGUGCGGGGAUCGAACAGGAUUAGAUACCCUGGUAGUCCGCACAGUAAACGAUGAUUACUGGUUGUAUGCGAUAUACAGUAUGCGGCGAAGCGAAAGCGAUAAGUAAUCCACCUGGGGAGUACGCCCGCAAGGGUGAAACUCAAAG